RNAcentral lists this ribosomal RNA (165 nucleotides) under uncultured bacterium. RNAcentral's name for it is "partial 16S rRNA". It matches the Rfam family "Bacterial small subunit ribosomal RNA", at positions 355 to 511 of the family's 1533-position model. The record is from RNAcentral.
UAGGGAAUCUUCGGCAAUGGGGGCAACCCUGACCGAGCAACGCCGCGUGAGUGAAGAAGGUUUUCGGAUCGUAAAACUCUGUUGGUAGAGAAGAACGUUGGUGAGAGUGGAAAGCUCAUCAAGUGACGGUAACUACCCAGAAAGGGACGGCUAACUACGUGCCAG